UGGGGAAUAUUGCACAAUGGGGGAAACCCUGAUGCAGCGACGCCGCGUGAGUGAAGAAGUAUUUCGGUAUGUAAAGCUCUAUCAGCAGGGAAGAAAAUGACGGUACCUGACUAAGAAGCCCCGGCUAACUACGUGCCAGCAGCCGCGGUAAUACGUAGGGGGCAAGCGUUAUCCGGAUUUACUGGGUGUAAAGGGAGCGUAGACGGUAAUGCAAGUCUGGAGUGAAAACCCGGGGCUCAACCCCGGGACUGCUUUGGAAACUGUAUAACUGGAGUGCCGGAGAGGUAAGCGGAAUUCCUAGUGUAGCGGUGAAAUGCGUAGAUAUUAGGAGGAACACCAGUGGCGAAGGCGGCUUACUGGACGGUAACUGACGUUGAGGCUCGAAAGCGUGGGGAGCAAACA
This 402-nucleotide ribosomal RNA is filed under the name uncultured bacterium. RNAcentral describes it as "bacterial SSU rRNA". It matches the Rfam family "Bacterial small subunit ribosomal RNA", at positions 355 to 774 of the family's 1533-position model. The record is from RNAcentral.